RNAcentral lists this ribosomal RNA (284 nucleotides) under Albinaria violacea. Its description in RNAcentral is "partial large subunit ribosomal RNA". The record is from RNAcentral. Lineage: Eukaryota; Metazoa; Mollusca; Gastropoda; Stylommatophora; Clausiliidae.
GUGCAAAGGUAGCAUAAUCAUUUGACUUUUAAAUGGAGCCUAGAAUGAAAGAAAGAACGUAACAACUUGUCUCAUUAAUAUUACUAUUAAAUUGUUGUAUGAGUGAAAAUACUCAUAAAUUUAAAAAUAGACGAGAAGACCCUUAGAAUUUUAAAAAUAUUGCGAGUUAAGCUCUUGUAAAAUUUUUUGUUGGGGCAACAAUAUUUCAUGAAAUAAAUAUGUUAUUGAGAGAUAUAUCGAUUUAAUAAUAAUAAUAAAAUUACCUAAGGGAUAACAGCAUAAUU